RNAcentral lists this unclassified non-coding RNA (220 nucleotides) under uncultured bacterium. RNAcentral's name for it is "contains 16S-23S intergenic spacer region". The record is from RNAcentral.
UCCGAGUUGACCCCGGCAGUCUCCUACGAGUCCCCACCAUUACGUGCUGGCAACAUAGGACGAGGGUUGCGCUCGUUGCGGGACUUAACCCAACAUCUCGCGACACGAGCUGACGACAGCCAUGCAGCACCUGUGUCCAGGUUCCCUUUCGGGCACCCCUCCAUCUCUGGAGGGUUCCUGGCAUGUCAAGGGUAGGUAAGGUGGGGAUGACGUGUCCUUG